RNAcentral lists this ribosomal RNA (492 nucleotides) under uncultured bacterium. Its description in RNAcentral is "partial 16S ribosomal RNA". It matches the Rfam family "Bacterial small subunit ribosomal RNA", at positions 29 to 507 of the family's 1533-position model. The record is from RNAcentral.
AGUGAACGCUGGCGGUAGGCCUAACACAUGCAAGUCGAACGGCAGCACAGUAAGAGCUUGCUCUUACGGGUGGCGAGUGGCGGACGGGUGAGGAAUACAUCGGAAUCUACUUUUUCGUGGGGGAUAACGUAGGGAAACUUACGCUAAUACCGCAUACGACCUACGGGUGAAAGCAGGGGAUCUUCGGACCUUGCGCGAUUGAAUGAGCCGAUGUCGGAUUAGCUAGUUGGCGGGGUAAAGGCCCACCAAGGCGACGAUCCGUAGCUGGUCUGAGAGGAUAAUCAGCCACACUGGAACUGAGACACGGUCCAGACUCCUACGGGAGGCAGCAGUGGGGAAUAUUGGACAAUGGGCGCAAGCCUGAUCCAGCCAUACCGCGUGGGUGAAGAAGGCCUUCGGGUUGUAAAGCCCCUUUGUUGGGAAAGAAAAGCAGCAGGUUAAUACCCCGCUGUUCUGACGGUACCCAAAGAAUAAGCACCGGCUAACUUCGUG